This 71-nucleotide transfer RNA is filed under the name Marmota monax (woodchuck). Its description in RNAcentral is "tRNA.Ala". It matches the Rfam family "tRNA". From Rfam's summary of the family: Transfer RNA (tRNA) molecules are approximately 80 nucleotides in length. The record is from RNAcentral. Lineage: Eukaryota; Metazoa; Chordata; Mammalia; Rodentia; Sciuridae.
GGGGUUGUGGCUUAGUGGUAGAGCGCUCACCUAGCACGUGUGAGGCACUGGGUUUGAUCCUCAGCACCACA